RNAcentral lists this ribosomal RNA (426 nucleotides) under uncultured bacterium. RNAcentral's name for it is "partial 16S ribosomal RNA". It matches the Rfam family "Bacterial small subunit ribosomal RNA", at positions 354 to 796 of the family's 1533-position model. The record is from RNAcentral.
GUGAGGAAUUUUCCGCAAUGGGCGAAAGCCUGACGGAGCAAUGCCGCGUGAAGGAUGAAGGCCUAUGGGUUGUAAACUUCUUUUCUCAGAAAAGAAUUAUGACGGUAUCUGAGGAAUAAGCAUCGGCUAACUCUGUGCCAGCAGCCGCGGUAAGACAGAGGAUGCAAGCGUUAUCCGGAAUGAUUGGGCGUAAAGCGUCUGUAGGUUGUUUAAAAAGUAUUCUGUCAAAGAUUAGGGCUUAACCCUAGAUAGGCAGAAUAAACUUUUAAGCUAGAGUUUGGUAGAGGCAGAGGGAAUACCCGGUGGAGCGGUGAAAUGCGUAGAUAUCGGGAGGAACACCAAAGGCGAAGGCACUCUGCUGGGCCAAUACUAACACUGAGAGACGAAAGCGAGGGGAGCAAAUGGGAUUAGAUACCCGUGUAGUCC